GAAGCGAACCCGGCGAACUGAAACAUCUAAGUAGCCGGAGGAAAAGAAAAUCAACCGAGAUUCCCAAAGUAGUGGCGAGCGAAAUGGGAACAGCCUGCAAGUGAUAGCGAUUGCGUUAGCGGAAGUCUCUGGAAAGUGGCGCCGUAGUGGGUGACAGCCCCGUACGCGAAAACCCGAUCGUGGUACCAAGCUUGCGACAAGUAGGGCGGGGCACGAGAAAUCCUGUCUGAAUAUGGGGGGCCCAUCCUCCAAGGCUAAAUACUCGUAAUCGACCGAUAGUGAACCAGUACCGUGAGGGAAAGGCGAAAAGAACCCCGGGAGGGGAGUGAAAUAGAUCCUGAAACCGCAUGCAUACAAACAGUGGGAGCCCCCUUCGUGGGGUGACUGCGUACCUUUUGUAUAAUGGGUCAGCGACUUACGUUCAGUAGCGAGCUUAACCGAAUAGGGGAGGCGUAGGGAAACCGAGUCUGAUAAGGGCGCCUAGUUGCUGGACGUAGACCCGAAACCAAGUGAUCUAUCCAUGGCCAGGAUGAAGGUGCGGUAACACGCACUGGAGGUACCCG
RNAcentral lists this ribosomal RNA (563 nucleotides) under uncultured bacterium. RNAcentral's name for it is "bacterial LSU rRNA". It matches the Rfam family "Bacterial large subunit ribosomal RNA", at positions 176 to 776 of the family's 2925-position model. The record is from RNAcentral.